UGGUUGGUUGCCCGGGUUGGCAAUGGGGGACUUCCCUUUUGAGGGUAAUGGUCCUGGGUUCGAGUUCCGUACCAACUGU
This 79-nucleotide transfer RNA is filed under the name Mucilaginibacter galii. RNAcentral's name for it is "tRNA-Gln". The record is from RNAcentral. Lineage: Bacteria; Pseudomonadati; Bacteroidota; Sphingobacteriia; Sphingobacteriales; Sphingobacteriaceae.